Long non-coding RNA from Chelonia mydas (Green sea turtle), 498 nucleotides. RefSeq lists it as uncharacterized. The record is from RefSeq and is a predicted model, not a curated record. NCBI's taxonomy places the organism in Eukaryota, Metazoa, Chordata, Testudines, Cheloniidae. The transcript is spliced from 3 exons.
GGACUUGCAUCUGACACACAGUGCCAUACAACAAAAUCUCUGAAGGGAACUAAGAGGCAAUGAAGCAGCAAGGCCAGCUGAAGCAACAGACCCAAACCAAAAUAAUCAGCUUUCAGUGAAGUUAUCCCCUUUCUUUCUCGCUCUCUCACUCUCACGGAGUACCCUUGGUGUAAUACAUUACAUAGGAGUUGGCAUCGGAAUGCAACUCUGAAACCAGACUCAGAUGGACUGAAGUGACAUAACAGGUUGGGCUCCAGAUCACUAGGUUGUGCAAGAAGCAUCAGAUAGGUCAAACCAUUCCGGGACUGCUGCACUAAGAAAUGUUUCUGGGUCAGGGUGUGGGGAAAGAAAGAAAUCAGGUUCUAACUACAAAAGCAAUCAGAAGGAAGGGUAGCUUCAUGUGACACUUCCUGCCUAUGCAACAGUGGGGAGCCACCACAUCCUGUUUCUGCAAAGUGCUUCCCUAUUACCAAAUGGAGUUACAAGAACUGGUUUUAU